This 715-nucleotide ribosomal RNA is filed under the name uncultured bacterium. RNAcentral's name for it is "bacterial SSU rRNA". It matches the Rfam family "Bacterial small subunit ribosomal RNA", at positions 12 to 694 of the family's 1533-position model. The record is from RNAcentral.
UUUGAUCCUGGCUCAGGACGAACGCUGGCGGCGUGCCUAAUACAUGCAAGUCGAGCGAGCGGAACCAACAGAUUUACUUCGGUAAUGACGUUGGGAAAGCGAGCGGCGGAUGGGUGAGUAACACGUGGGGAACCUGCCCCUAAGUCUGGGAUACCAUUUGGAAACAGGUGCUAAUACCGGAUAAUAAAGCAGAUCGCAUGAUCAGCUUUUGAAAGGCGGCGUAAGCUGUCGCUAAGGGAUGGCCCCGCGGUGCAUUAGUUAGUUGGUAAGGUAACGGCUUACCAAGGCGACGAUGCAUAGCCGAGUUGAGAGACUGAUCGGCCACAUUGGGACUGAGACACGGCCCAAACUCCUACGGGAGGCAGCAGUAGGGAAUCUUCCACAAUGGACGCAAGUCUGAUGGAGCAACGCCGCGUGAGUGAAGAAGGUUUUCGGAUCGUAAAGCUCUGUUGUUGGUGAAGAAGGAUAGAGGUAGUAACUGGCCUAUAUUUGACGGUAAUCAACCAGAAAGUCACGGCUAACUACGUGCCAGCAGCCGCGGUAAUACGUAGGUGGCAUGCGUUGUCCGGAUUUAUUGGGCGUAAAGCGAGCGCAGGCGGAAAAAUAAGUCUAAUGUGAAAGCCCUCGGCUUAACCGAGGAACUGCAUCGGAAACUGUUUUUCUUGAGUGCAGAAGAGGAGAGUGGAACUCCAUGUGUAGCGGUGAAAUGCGUAGA